GUGGCAUGCUCGUCUAGGACAUUGUUUUCACAAGCAUUUAAAACUCAUUCGUUUUCUUUCUCAAAUACAUUUUGGUUCCAAUAAUUGUUAUGACGUUUGUUAUCGAGCAAAACAAACUUGUAGACCUUUUUCGUUAAGUUUUAAUAAAUCUAUUUUUCAUUUUCAUUUAGUGCAUCUCGAUAUAUGGGGACCAUAUCGCAC
RNAcentral lists this long non-coding RNA (201 nucleotides) under Elaeis guineensis (African oil palm). Its description in RNAcentral is "long non-coding RNA (EGUI_LNC036057)". The record is from RNAcentral. Lineage: Eukaryota; Viridiplantae; Streptophyta; Magnoliopsida; Arecales; Arecaceae.